Molecule: ribosomal RNA, 468 nt
Filed under: uncultured bacterium
Lineage: Bacteria
Description: partial 16S ribosomal RNA
Rfam family: Bacterial small subunit ribosomal RNA
Source: RNAcentral
GACGAACGCUGGCGGCGUGCUUAACACAUGCAAGUCGAACGGAAAGGCCCUGCUUUUGUGGGGUGCUCGAGUGGCGAACGGGUGAGUAACACGUGAGUAACCUGCCCUUGACUUCGGGAUAACUUCAGGAAACUGGGGCUAAUACCGGAUAGGAGCUCCUGCUGCAUGGUGGGGGUUGGAAAGUUUCGGCGGUUGGGGAUGGACUCGCGGCUUAUCAGCUUGUUGGUGGGGUAGUGGCUUACCAAGGCUUUGACGGGUAGCCGGCCUGAGAGGGUGACCGGCCACAUUGGGACUGAGAUACGGCCCAGACUCCUACGGGAGGCAGCAGUGGGGAAUAUUGCACAAUGGGCGGAAGCCUGAUGCAGCAACGCCGCGUGCGGGAUGACGGCCUUCGGGUUGUAAACCGCUUUCGCCUGUGACGAAGCGUGGGUGACGGUAAUGGGUAAAGAAGCACCGGCUAACUACGUG